This 205-nucleotide ribosomal RNA is filed under the name uncultured Leptolinea sp. RNAcentral describes it as "partial 16S ribosomal RNA". It matches the Rfam family "Bacterial small subunit ribosomal RNA", at positions 1178 to 1382 of the family's 1533-position model. The record is from RNAcentral. Lineage: Bacteria; Bacillati; Chloroflexota; Anaerolineae; Anaerolineales; Anaerolineaceae.
AGUGACGUCAAGUCAGCAUGGCCUUUAUGUCCUGGGCUACACACACGCUACAAUGGCCAACACAAUAGGUUGCUAAGCCGCGAGGUGGAGCCAAUCCUCAAAGUUGGUCUCAGUUCAGAUUGCAGGCUGCAACCCGCCUGCAUGAAGAUGGAGUUGCUAGUAACCGCAGGUCAGCUAUACUGCGGUGAAUACGUUCCCGGGGCUU